AGGUCUAUUUAAAUUGCUUAUCUGUUCUUGAUUUAAUUUUGGUUCUCCCUUUAGUGGAAGAAGGGCUAUCACCUUGAAGCUGGCUGACUCUGGAUGGUCUGGUGGGUCUGGAUGUUUUCCCCAGUGUACAGUUCCCAGUCCUCAUGAGGCUUUGAGCCUUUUUGUCUAUUUUUAAGAUUUUAAGGUAAAUUACCUCAAAGAUGAUUUGGCUGUUUAAUGAUUUAAAAGAUUUCAUACAGUAAAUAAGAACAGGGCCUGGAAAACUUUACAUUUCUUCAUAAUGGUAGUCUCCUACCAGAAGAAAUGCAGAGAAAUGGAAACAAAUAACUUUUGCAGCAGCGACAAGGAGAUUAAAACAAUAUUUCACAACAUAUAUGCCUGCUAUAAAAGAGCAAAAACUGAGAAGAAAAUUUGGUAGGAAAGAACAAAGUAAAAGAGUGACCUCAUGAUCUACAAAAUGAAUCCUGCAGACUGUGCCAGUCAAUCACCAUUUUGAUAUUCUAGCCAUCAAUACUGAGAUUACUGCUCCACAUACUGCUUCAACACAGCAGAAAUAUGCUUAAGGGGCAUUUCAGAAAGUGUUGGAAACCAGCAUACUAAUAAAAUGCUGAUCUGUUGUGCUGUUUCCCAUUAUUUUCAAGACUUUGCCUCUCAAUAAAGCCCUAUUCUUUUUAUUGAUUCCAAGUACCUCUUGGCACAUCUCUGUGAAGUCAUCUUUAUGGUUUUAUCAGCCUUUGGUGACUUUUUGACCUUUUCUCUACCAUGAAUGAUAAAAUUAAUGAGCAACUGCUUUUGAUCACUGGAUACUUACAUGACGAUGAAACGAAAAUAACAAUGUGUUUUCUUUAUAUUUGGAAUAUUCAUUU
Molecule: long non-coding RNA, 866 nt
Organism: Mesocricetus auratus (golden hamster)
Lineage: Eukaryota; Metazoa; Chordata; Mammalia; Rodentia; Cricetidae
Exons: 7
Source: RefSeq, a predicted model, not a curated record